RNAcentral lists this ribosomal RNA (444 nucleotides) under uncultured bacterium. RNAcentral's name for it is "SSU rRNA". It matches the Rfam family "Bacterial small subunit ribosomal RNA", at positions 26 to 518 of the family's 1533-position model. The record is from RNAcentral.
AGAGCGAACGCUGGCGGCAGGCCUAAUACAUGCAAGUCGAACGAGCCCUUCGGGGCUAGUGGCGGACGGGUGAGUAACACGUGGGAACGUGCCUUUUGGUUCGGAACAACUCAGGGAAACUUGAGCUAAUACCGAAUGUGCCCUUCGGGGGAAAGAUUUAUCGCCAUUAGAGCGGCCCGCGUCUGAUUAGCUAGUUGGUGAGGUAAAGGCCCACCAAGGCUACGAUCAGUAGCUGGUCUGAGAGGAUGAUCAGCCACACUGGGACUGAGACACGGCCCAGACUCCUACGGGAGGCAGCAGUAGGGAAUCUUGCGCAAUGGGCGAAAGCCUGACGCAGCCAUGCCGCGUGAAUGAUGAAGGUCUUAGGAUUGUAAAAUUCUUUCAGCGGGACGAUAAUGACGGUACCCGCAGAAGAAGCCCGGCUAACUUCGUGCCAGCAGCCGC